ACAUAAAAUCAGUGCAAAAAUUUGUCAGUUGGGGUGUGAGCUGCUGGCCGUACUUAACCUGAUUUGCAUCAUGGCGUGCUGCUCAGUGAACGUUAGAGGUAGGCACAGAGCAGGGACAGCUUCCAGCAGGGGAAAGCUGUCAUACUGGCUCUUAGGACACAGUGAUAGGCAUUAGAGACAUCAUAGAAGGACAGAGAACAUGUGCAUAGCAUGAUGAGUCACAGGUGCCUUGAAGUUCUUGACGAGCUAUGUAAAUGUAUGCAUCUCCUGGCAACUCUAACUUAGCAGAGACUGGAAGGAUGGAGGUUUCAGCUGUUAAAGUCAUGCUGGCAUGCUCAUGUAUGCCUUUACUAGAAUCAUAUAGUGUACUCCUUGGACAUAACUGAGGGUUGAGAUCAACAUAAUUAGUUGGGUAUCUUGACAAACAUUAAACUGUUUUGUAAACAGUAGAUUAGAAGAAAGUGCCCCCCAUGGACACCUAUUCCCUGGAGUUUUGAUGAUUUAUUUUUGAUGAUUUAUUUUAUGAUUUAUGAAAUGGUUGAUAGACGUGAAUAUGAAUUUAUGAUAUAUAAAAUGGUUUAUGCUAUAUUAAAUGUUGAGAAGAAAGGGAAUCAGGUCUGUGAUCGUUUUAAAUCAUUCAUAAAUAUCUCCUAAUACAUUAAAGCUGCUUUAAAAUUCUUGUUUUGUUUUGUUUCUUUGUUUAAGAAAGAGAUAUAUUAGCACCACUGUGAUUUUUAGAUCUCCUUAUGAUCAGAUUCUUUGUCCCUAGUAUCACACUCAAGUACCUGAAGAAUGGAUGGAGAAUAUCAUGACAAGGAAAAAAAGGCUUAAUUAUAUAGUGCUUAAUUUGGAAAGUGGAUCUUUGUAGCCUGAGAGCAGAAUAAUUUGAUUAAUUCCACUAUCAGUAUUACGCCCUUACAUGUGUAAUCUUCAUGCAACUAUAGGUGCAGUCUGUCAAAUGGCAGGUACUGAUAAAAAUGUCAACUUCAUUAGUCAAAUAGUGUAAAAGUUCAAGGCUAGUAAUGAAUCAUUUCCAUUAUCAUCCUUCCCAUCCAUCUCUUCAAGUUUAGCAGCAAAUUAUUCUGUCUUU
Molecule: long non-coding RNA, 1090 nt
Organism: Gallus gallus (chicken)
Lineage: Eukaryota; Metazoa; Chordata; Aves; Galliformes; Phasianidae
Source: Ensembl